CUUUACUGCAUGAAGAGAUGAGAGUCAGCGUCUAUCUCUGGUAUGCAGCACCGGCAGCAAUGCACGUGUGAGUAAGCUUGUGUAUCUCACACUCAGAGGUCCACAAUUGAAAUCCUAGCACGACUGAAGCCCUUCAGGGUGUACCCCGCCUUGUGCCCCAUGCUCCCUGGGAUAGACUCCAGGUUCCCCGUGACCCUGAUGGAAGGAUAAGCGGUAUAGAAGAUGGAUGGAUGGAUGGAUGGAUUGACCCAAGACGUGUCACGUGACAUCAUCACAACACACAUUCAGCAGAAGCCCUCUUCUAUUCACUUGUGUCGAACACGAGUACAGCUAAAAGGUCUCAUCUACCAACAAACAUCACUGUGAAAGCCCGCGCAAAACAAUUUCGUGCCAAGUCGAGCAGUUUUCUGCAAAAAGGUACAAAAAAAAACGCUAAUUUUAAAAAAAGCCGCAACAAAAUAAACAAAUCUUGGCCGCAACAAUCUAAAAAAAAUAAAAUGAAUAAAACUCUGAAAUCCUAUAUGGACAUCCUAUAUGGUACAAUCAUACCAGUUUACACACUGACAAUAAAAUGCCAACGACUGCACUGAAAACAUGACAUUUGAUUUUUGGCAGCCAUUGCAUGUUGUUG
Molecule: long non-coding RNA, 631 nt
Organism: Ictalurus punctatus (channel catfish)
Lineage: Eukaryota; Metazoa; Chordata; Actinopteri; Siluriformes; Ictaluridae
Source: Ensembl